Molecule: long non-coding RNA, 1173 nt
Organism: Daktulosphaira vitifoliae (grape phylloxera)
Lineage: Eukaryota; Metazoa; Arthropoda; Insecta; Hemiptera; Phylloxeridae
Exons: 3
Source: RefSeq, a predicted model, not a curated record
UGUGUGUGUGGUAAUAUUGCCGUUGGUGCAUAUAUUUAUAUGUAUUUUUGUGUUUUAUUUUUAAUUUUAUUAUCUAAAUUACGACGACAAGUGGACGAUUGACGAAAUGACAACUAUCAGCUGAGUAUUGAACUGAUAUUAAAAGAUUAUUUUUAUUUAUUUUCAAUAUUUUAUAAACUACAUCAUUCGAAUUUCGAUUGUAGUUCGUAAUAGGUACUGUAGGUACUUUUGCUGUUUUAUCGCGUAGUACGUAUACAGUUUUUGUGUUCGAUCUAUUAUUCAAUAAAAUUGUUUCCUUAAUACAUUUUAAUAAAUCAACUAUAAAAUCCAAUAUACAUUAAACAAAAUUCCAACAUGAGUACUCAAAAAAUUGAUUCUUACUUUGGUACUCAAACAAGUGUUUCAAACGGUCAACUAAUAAUAAUGGAUAACAAAAAAAAAAAAACCACAAAUACAGUGGUUGAUAUUACAAAUUUGACGCAAUCGUGGAAUGUUCAAAUUAAUUUAGAUAUCAACACAACUACCCCUAGCGAUCAACAACUCUCUGCCUUUUAACAGCAUUCAACAAUUCAACAUCUAUCUACCUUCAGAAUUAGUCAGUUAUUUAAACAACUUCAAUAAAAUUACUAGUGCAAUUAAACAACCAUGAAUGGCUCUCCACCAUUAAUUUUGCCUUUGAAUGGGAGAGCAGUACGUCUAUUGCCGCAUAGUCAAUUUGUAAUUGACCUUGAAGAUUUAGAAUCCCUAAAAACAAAAAUUCGAAAAAAUUUUACUCAAAAACUACAUUAAAUCUCAUCAGUCAUAAUAAAAUUAGAAUUCUCUAUGGUUGCCUAGGACAAUAAUUUAAACGGUGAUGCAAUAAGGAACAUCAUUUACAAUAGUAAAAGUAAAAAACCUUGUCGGCCAACAUAGAAGCAGGUAGUUCGGACCAUUUGACUAACUACCCAGAAUGAAGUCGGUCGAAGGGAUCAAUGGUACCUGUCGAGCUGAGAAUGGCAUGAUGGUGGCUAGCAGUUUCAAGAACCAAGUCAAGGAAAAAGGACGCAGCAGUUAUCCUUUUUCUAUAUUUCAUAUUUUUUUAUAAGUUAUUAUCCUAAAAUAAAGUACCUCGGUUUGUCUUAAUUAUUCGUAAAAUAAGUGAGUUUGUAUUUUGUUGCAUAGAAUAAAUUUGUC